GACGAACGCUGGCGGCGUGCCUAAUACAUGCAAGUCGAACGCAGUGGGGACGGGUGAGUAACACGUGGGUAACCUCCCAUCAGAGGGGAUCACACUUGGAAACAGGUGCUAAACCGAUACUGAUGGAUGAAUCUGCGGUGCAUUAGCUGGUUGGUGAGGUAACGGCUUACCAAGGCUACGAUGCAUAGCCGACUGAAGGGGGUGAUCGGCCACACUAGAACUGAGACACGGCCCAGACUCCUACGGGAGGCAGCAGUGGGAAGUAUUCCACAAUGGACCAAAGUCUGACCUAUCAACGCCGCUUGAGUGAGGAAGGUUUUCGGGUCGUAAAACUCUGUUGUUAGAGAGACGGUGUCUAUCCAGAUAGCCACGGCUAACUACGUGCCAGCAGCCGCGGUAAUAC
This 403-nucleotide ribosomal RNA is filed under the name uncultured bacterium. RNAcentral describes it as "partial 16S ribosomal RNA". It matches the Rfam family "Bacterial small subunit ribosomal RNA", at positions 28 to 526 of the family's 1533-position model. The record is from RNAcentral.